ACUCCUACGGGAGGCAGCAGUGGGGAAUCUUAGACAAUGGGCGCAAGCCUGAUCUAGCCAUGCCGCGUGAUCGAUGAAGGCCUUAGGGUUGUAAAGAUCUUUCAGUUGGGAAGAUAAUGACGGUACCAACAGAAGAAGCCCCGGCUAACUCCGUGCCAGCAGCCGCGGUAAUA
Molecule: ribosomal RNA, 173 nt
Filed under: uncultured bacterium
Lineage: Bacteria
Description: partial 16S ribosomal RNA
Rfam family: Bacterial small subunit ribosomal RNA
Source: RNAcentral